UACAGAGGUCCCAAGCGUUGUUCGGAUUCACUGGGCGUAAAGGGUGCGUAGGUGGCAUGGUAAGUUUGAUGUGAAAUCUCCGGGCUUAACCCGGAAAUGGCAUUGAAUACUACUGUGCUGGAGGUUUGGAGGGGGGACUGGAAUUCUCGGUGUAGCAGUGAAAUGCGUAGAUAUCGAGAGGAACACCAGUGGCGAAGGCGAGUCUCUGGACAGUUCCUGACGCUGAGGCACGAAGGCCAGGGGAGCAAACGGG
RNAcentral lists this ribosomal RNA (253 nucleotides) under uncultured bacterium. RNAcentral's name for it is "partial 16S ribosomal RNA". It matches the Rfam family "Bacterial small subunit ribosomal RNA", at positions 524 to 776 of the family's 1533-position model. The record is from RNAcentral.